This 5903-nucleotide long non-coding RNA is filed under the name Populus trichocarpa (black cottonwood). Its description in RNAcentral is "long non-coding RNA (PTRI_LNC002626)". The record is from RNAcentral. Lineage: Eukaryota; Viridiplantae; Streptophyta; Magnoliopsida; Malpighiales; Salicaceae.
AAGAAAAGACUGCCGAAUAGCAAGCUUGAUAGCCCCUUUAGCAACUUUAUAAUGAGCCAGGCAUCCAACAAUCUGUUUCAUUGCCUGAAACUUGGUCAGUGCAUGUGCAUCAGCUCCCUGAACUCAAUAUACAGCAUUAGAUCAUUCAAUUGAUGCAUCAUUAUGAUCUUGAAUCGAAGUCAGAUCGAUGAUAAAAAAAACCAACACACUUGCUAUUGUGGCAGAUUGAUGCUCUUGCACUUUUGCACAAAAGGAGAGCAGCUAUCUAAAUAGUUAGCCCAUGAAAGUUCCAUAACAAGAAAACCAGAUGGUAGUGCCAUGCUGCAAUUUCCAAUUUUUCCUUUCCUCACAGUACUAACUGGAAUCUAAAGUUUCUUCUUGAUAUAUGGUAUAGAAUUCAGCUUUUAUUAAUUAUCAAGGCCUUCUCCUAUUAUGGCUGCACAGCAAAGGAGCUACAGAAAGUUUAAAGUUCAAGCACCGCAAUGCUUUUUAUCAAGUCCCCACAUUAUCUACUCAAUAGAUACAUCAGAUUCGUGUCAUCAAGUGACAAUAGCAAAACAAAAGGAGAUACCUGCAUAAGCAGAGGAUUAUGAACAGCUUAUGAAGAAGAUUAAUGAUGAAAUGUGGUGCAUAUAUAUGGUUCAAGAUGAAUGGUGAUUGUUGUAUUCUUAACGAAGGUCUUUUUUUACUUCAACAAGCUUGUGUGGAAACGAACCAUCGCUACUCCUCACAAUGGCAUGUUCCUACUCUUCAUUCUCAUGAAGCAAGUCAAAUCCAGCACCAAUCAACCACCGCAACUCCACUUGCUCCGUUAGCCAUUGGAUUUCAUUUCCUUUCAGAGUCAGAGCUAAUCAACAACUCGAUCAGGUUUUCUUCUUCUUCUUCUUCCAUGACAUUAAAAUGGAAUGUGUGAGAGUGCAAUGUGCGUCCUGUGCUGUUCAUUCAACAGGGUUUUCGAGAAUCCUUCAAGGGUGAGUGUCUCAGAGUCUACAACUAUGUUCAGGAGUUUGCUGGCAUGUUUCUACAUUAGGUUGAAUCAAACAUGCAGGGCCUAGCUUAUGCAUAUUGUAGAAGCCUCUCAUUGGGUUGAAUUCAAUCGCCUCAUCCUGAUAUCUGUCUCAGAGCUGUGACUUUUCCAUGUAUAGGUUCUAAAAUGGUACAUUAUUGAGGGGGAUGACCACCUACCAGCCUGUUGCAUUGUUUUAAAGAAGAAAUAUUUUUUAAAAAAAAACCCCAACUAAUACUUCGUUAUUUAGGCUUCUAAACUUGUGAUUGAAGGACAAGAUUUUGAUUAUUGAUGAGCAACUAUUUUGGUCGUUGGAGCAGGUCUAUUUUGUUGAAAAUUCAUUACCCCAACUGAAACCUCCUUGUCUGAGGGAGGAAGAGCCCCACUUUACAUUUAUUCUACAGCAACUUAUUGUCUUCCACUCUGUUUUUGGAUAUGUUUUUUAAAUAAUUAUGUGGUUAUAAAAAAAACAUAUGUUAAGUUUAUCUUAAAAUACAAUAAAAACUUAAAUUUAUUUAUUUAUUUUUAAAGCUACUGCAGCGUCACAAAGACCUGUUUUAUUUUCGUAGUUGAAUUAUAUAUUUUUUUAAAAUAUUUGUUUUUUUAAUUUAAAUUAUUUUUUUAUAUUAUUGAAUGGUUUUGAUAUACUAAUAUCAAAAAUAAAUUUUAAUAAACAAAAAUUAUUAUUAUAAUAUAUUAUCAAACAAAAUUAUUUUAAAAAUAACUCCGAUUAUAAUCUAAAACAAGCUAAAAUUUUGAUAUCUCAGACCGGCCAAAUACAUAUAAUUAAAAUGGAAAGUCAUGGUCUUGACUCUUAAGAUUCUUGUUAAAAAAAUAUUCAAAAGCAUAUUCUGAAAAAAAUUGAUUUUUUUCAAAUUAAAUUUUUGAGAUUUAUAUAAUAACAUCAAAAAUAAUUUUAAAAUAAAAUAAUAUUAUUUUAAUAUAUUUUUAAAUAAAAAAAUAUUUUAAAAAUCAAUCACAAACUUAACGUAAGAAUGGUUGGUAAGAAAGUGUGGGGCCCGCAACACUGACAGCACCUUUUUUGUUCUUUUUCUACGUCAGCUUUGAAAUUUGAAUGACAGAGAUGGCUCACCUUCAGUUAAGUGACAGUACCAUCAGGAUGAAUUAUUGUAUAUAUUAUGUCCUUUAUGCUUUCUUUUUUUGUUAUAAAAAAAAAAUCAAACCUUCAGUUUAUAAAAAAAAAAAUAGAAUUGAGUUAAUUAAUCUGGAUCAGAUUAAUCAAAUUAUGUGUUAAUUUAUUGUAUUAUUUGAUUUUGAUUAGAUUAAUUAUUAAUAUGAUUAAAAACUAAAUCCAUUAUAAAUUAAAUUUUAAACCAAUAAUAACUUGAUCAACAAAUAAGUUUAAUAAUUAUACUCAAAACUUUUUAAUUAGAGAAUAAAUAUGAAUACUAAUUAAAUUACAACUCCUUGACUCGUUUAUAAACAUAGCCUUUCUUGAUUGAUUCAGUAGAACUUCAUUUCAGGUUCUUGCAGGUUCUCUCCUCUCUUUCUCUCCCACACACAAAACAGACAUGGACUGCGUUGUUUUGCUUCCUGUUCUUCAUAAGUAACAACUUAAGUUUAUUGGUGUGGUAUAUAUCUCCACUUUGAAAUUUAUAAAUAUUCAGUAACGUUUUUGCUUGACAAAGCAAAUAGAUGCCAAAUUUUUUGUUCCUUCUAGUAUUUGGAUGAUCUUUGCAAUGACCGACUCAUUUCUUCAAUCUAUAUAUGCUGGAAGCAGAUAAUAUUUGUUCGACUUGUUUUAAGCUGAGCAUGCCCUUUUCUUUUCUUUUGAAGCAGUGAAAUUAAUGGUCCGGAUAUGAUUCUUAGAAUUUCUUGUAUUUCUCAGAAAUUUAUAAUCAUAGCCUUUCUUGAUUGAUUCAAACCUGAUUUUCUCUGUGUUAUGAUCUCUGUUAAUGUUGGUAAAAUGUGAAACUUUUUUGUGGAUUUGAUCUUUGAAAAAUGAAAAAUCUUGGGGAUAAAUUAUGGAAGUUCAUCGUCAAUUUUGUAACAAUCAAAUUUCUCUGGGCUGUCAUCAACGUGACUAAAUUUUUCUCUGGUUUUUAAGUACAGUCUCUGGAUUUUUUUCUUCUUCUAAUCUUUGCAGGGAUGCAGAAGGAAAUUAAAGCGGCUUUGCUUUUUGGGUUGGUGGUAUGGGUAUAUCAGGCAACCAACCCUCCACCUCCAAAGAUUUGCGGUACCCCAGGCGGCCCGCCUAUUACAGCACCUAGAAUAAAAUUGAGGGAUGGGAGGUAUUUGGCCUACAAGGAGCAUGGUGUCUCUAGAGAAACUGCCAAAUAUAAGAUCAUAUAUGUUCAUGGCUUUGCCUCUAUGAGACAUAAUACAAUGAGCGUGGAAAAACUCUCUCCGGUAUUCCAAUAUUUCUAAAUCUUUGUGUUUAGCCCUUUUAAAGUUCCAUUAGUCAAGAGAUUGUAUCAUUUUUGUUUGUCAGGAAGUUGUUGAGGAGCUGGGAUUCCACCUUGUGUCCUUCGACCGGCCGGGUUAUGGAGAAAGUGAUCCACAUCCAAAGCGAACUCCGGAGAGUAUAGCUUUAGAUAUAGAAGAGCUUGCGGAUCAUUUAGAAUUUGGAUCCAGAUUUUAUGUCAUGGGGUUUUCUAUGGGAGGUCAAGUGAUCUGGGGCUGCCUCAAGUACAUCCCUCACAGGUGAGACUGUUUUCUUGCUGUUAUGACGACAAUUGUGCUUAUCUGGAGGAUGUUCUGCCUGCUGUUUAAGAUCUGGGAUAAAGCAUGAACAUCAUCCAAUAAUUCAAAAAUAUAACACUAAUUGCGCCUGUUGUCAACUACUGGUGGCCUGGCUUUCCUGCCAACUUAUCAACAGAAGCCUACUACUUACAGCUACCUCAGGACCAGUGGACAUUGCGUGUUGCUCACCAUGCUCCAUGGCUCACCUAUUGGUGGAACACUCAGAAAUGGUUUCCUGCAUCGGCAGUUGCAGCCCGUAAACCUGAAGUUUUCUCCCGUCAGGAUUUAGAAGUACUCCUUUCCAUGGUUACAGAUGGAAGAAUGAACAUGGUACUUCGUUUUCUUUCUCUCUUUCCACAUUACAAGGAAAUGAACCAUAAAUCAAGUUUAUCCUGACAUAUUUUGUGUCUCUGAAACUGGAGGCAAGAAGAUAUUGCUAGUGAGAAAGUUAUCAUCGCAUACAUAAUUUUUGCAGUGUACAUAGAACCAGUCCGAGAGGCUUUGAUCUUUUAACCAGGAGAGAACAGUAACUGGCCGGAAUUCUAGUUUUACAGGGGCUGCCUUAGAACCUUUUGUUUUUUGGAACUGGCUUGUGGAAAGAUAAGACACUGCAGAACUUCCAAUUUUCCUUUUGAUAUAUUAGAAGCAGAAGAGUUUUUCGAACCAGAAGUUCUAGAGAUCCAGUUAGAAAUUGAUUUAGAACAACAAAUUAAUGAUAUUUGACUCUACUCUAAGAAAUAUUAUUGGUCACAUGCUACUUGAUCCUUAGAAGUGCUUAUGAAUCUUCCCGCCUGAUUUGGAAUCUCUCCUUUCAUUUUAUGCAGCCACAAACAAUGCAGCAAGGAAAAUUUGAAACCAUACAUCGAGACAUGAUGAUUGGGUUUGGGAAGUGGGAAUUCGAUCCCAUGGAUCUUGAAAAUCCCUUUCCUGACAAUGAAGGCUCGGUUCAUCUAUGGCAGGGUGAUGAAGAUAAGAUGGUGCCUGUUAGCUUGCAACGAUAUAUUACCCAAAGACUUCCCUGGAUAAACUACCAUGAGAUAUCUGGCUCUGGACACAUGUUCCCUUACAUCCCAGAGACAUGCGAAGCGAUUAUAAAGGCUCUUUUGCUGGAAAAAAACUAGCCCUCCUUCGAGCUUAGUUGGCGUCAGCAUUUGUUUGCCUUUCUUCAUAGGUUCAUGGCACUGUAUCCUUGUUCUAUUCUUAGUUUCAAACAAUAUUGCAAAUAGAUUGGAUUACGACCCUAGUUCUAUUCUCAAAGUUUGCUACCAGGGUUCACAGUUUUAACCGAGCCCAUAUCCGCCCAAACAGAUAUUUCAUGGAUAGUUAUUGAUCGCUGCGGCAGGUUUGGAUAAAACCCUAAAGGACAAAGUUAGGUUUCGGGCAAGUAAUGAAUACUACCCUACUAGACUUGAAACCUAACCCAUACCCGACUCAAAAUUUUAUGGUAUAUUAUAUAUAUUUAUGUCCGCAUAGUUGAUGAAAAUAUCAUUCUUGUUAUUAACUAUUGUUCGGAUAAUAAAUUUCAAAACGAAUUCUCAAAAUCAAAUCGGAUCGGGUUUAUAUCUCGACAAUCUAGGAUAUGGUGACGUUCAGCAAGAACUGUGUCAGGCUGCUUCAGUAGAACUUUCCAUGUUUUCAUGCAUGUUCUUGUUUUUCAUGAGCUAGCACUAAUAUUUAUUUCGUUUAUAUGAUCUUGCAGCAAUAAUCUUUCGUUUUCUUUUAUCAUAACAAGCAAAGCCACAAAAUAUCCAGAACCACUAUCAACAGAACUCUAUUAGCAUAAGGUACAUAAAGUGAAGGCAUCAACAUCUUCUUUCAUGAUUUCCAAAAAGCCCCACAAACCAAAAUACCAGUCUUUGACCUUUAAGAUAAGAUAAACAAAUAAAAAAAACGUACUAUUGCCUCUGGUGCUCUCACCAUUGCUGCUACUGGACUGGUGGACACAUGGCUACUCCUCCUUUUGAAGAAGUCAUAUAUAGUGGUUUUUGUUGCCUUCUACGUUUUUAUUAUUGUUUGCUCACUCUACUACUGUCUCUUACUCAUGUGGCUUGAUUUUCUUGGGAGGGGUUAGCUGGGAAGCAGAGAGAGUAAGAGAUCGGAAGCCAUAGAGAUUGAGAUACAAAGAGAUUUAGAGAGAGAGAGAGAGAGAGAGAGAGAUCAGGGGGGUUGAGAAGAAAGGAAACUUUAAUAUUUA